RNAcentral lists this ribosomal RNA (254 nucleotides) under uncultured bacterium. Its description in RNAcentral is "partial 16S ribosomal RNA". It matches the Rfam family "Bacterial small subunit ribosomal RNA", at positions 524 to 776 of the family's 1533-position model. The record is from RNAcentral.
UACGGGGGGUGCAAGCGUUGUUCGGAUUUACUGGGCGUAAAGGGCGCGUAGGCGGCCACCGCAAGUCGACUGUGAAAUCUCCGGGCUUAACCCGGAAAGGUCAGCCGAUACUGCGGGGCUAGAGUGCAGAAGGGGCAACUGGAAUUCUCGGUGUAGCGGUGAAAUGCGUAGAUAUCGAGAGGAACACCUGCGGCGAAGGCGGGUUGCUGGGCUGACACUGACGCUGAUGUGCGAAAGCUAGGGGAGCGAACGGG